CCCUACGGGACGCAGCAGUGGGGGAUAUUGCACAAUGGGGGAAACCCUGAUGCAGCGACGCCGCGUGAGUGAAGAAGUAUUUCGGUACGUAAAGCUCUAUCAGCAGGGAAGAAAAAUGACGGUACCUGACUAAGAAGCCCCGGCUAACUACGUGCCAGCAGCCGCGGUAAUACGUAGGGGGCAAGCGUUAUCCGGAAUUACUGGGUGUAAAGGGAGCGUAGACGGCUGUGCAAGUCUGGAGUGAAAGGCGGGGGCCCAACCCCCGGACUGCUCUGGAAACUGUAUGGCUGGAGUGCAGGAGAGGG
This 305-nucleotide ribosomal RNA is filed under the name uncultured bacterium. Its description in RNAcentral is "bacterial SSU rRNA". It matches the Rfam family "Bacterial small subunit ribosomal RNA", at positions 337 to 658 of the family's 1533-position model. The record is from RNAcentral.